GGGUGGAAUUCCAGAACAAGUUCUACUCGGGCACAGGCUACAAGCUGAGUCCCUUCACCUUUGCUGCCACAGAUGACUAGGGCCCACUGCAGGUCCUGCCAGAUCUCCAUCCUGACCUCUGAGGCAGGAGAGGAAUAAAGACGGUCCGCCCUGGCAGUGAUGUCUCGUCUCUCUUCCCUCCUUUUUAGCUGAGGACAUUUCAUAUAUAUGGAUUUCACAGCUAAACUCAAUCCACGCCCCGCACCACAUACAGGCUGCUGUCUCCCACAAGAAUGAUGUCAGGGGCAUUGGGAAAGCAGGAGGGGAGAGAUCUGCUCCACACG
RNAcentral lists this non-coding RNA (323 nucleotides) under Pongo abelii (Sumatran orangutan). The record is from RNAcentral. Lineage: Eukaryota; Metazoa; Chordata; Mammalia; Primates; Hominidae.